Long non-coding RNA from Physcomitrium patens, 837 nucleotides. RefSeq lists it as uncharacterized. NCBI's taxonomy places the organism in Eukaryota, Viridiplantae, Streptophyta, Bryopsida, Funariales, Funariaceae. The record is from RefSeq and is a predicted model, not a curated record.
AACGAGCUUUCUGCGAGAGAGGCGGUGCUGUUCUAUCUGAGAGAGACAGCCACGGAAUCUUUGAAUCGAGUAGCCUUCACCCAAGAGGUUUUGAUUGUUUUGAAAACUGACACCAGAACGAAACAUCCAAGGAGGAGUUGGUAAGCUGAAUGACUGCGCAAGAGUUAUGCCGUUCAGCAUGCCUUCCGAAAGAGUGCAGCAGCUCUGGUAUCCUGUGUCAAGUAAUUGGAAGCAUCGCAACAAAAGAGUUCGAACUUUUAUGCUGCGUCAGUGCAUAGGACGACGUUAGUGCGCAACUUCGACAGAACCAAACGUCCUGCUUGAGCCUAUUUCCCCCUGCAACGUAAUCACACAUGAAUCACCAAGUUUGUGAUACCCAGCUUGCUCGACUUUGAGAGGAAAUCGAAAGUCACAGAUAGCCAUGUUUGUAGAAAAUCCCGUGUUGUCCCCAGUCUCCAGAUUUGGCUGGGUGAGGUAGCACUGCGUGUGUGGUUGACAACUGAGAGAGAUCAUUACAGCAGGUGCAUGUAUGGGGAGAUAUUGAUAGUCUUCGUAAUGUUUGCUGUAAUUAGCACCGACUUUGUAUACAGUCGUGAUGAAUUCUUAGUUAGAUGUUGUGGCUAUUCCCAUUUUUUUGCUAGUUUGCUUUCGCAAAAGUUUUGAAAGGAAUUCUUAUCGCCAAGUGCGCAUAGUCCGGACGAAAGAUUCUUGAGGGAUAUUAUUCCCGAGUUUGUGGAACAUUAAUGCCGCAUCAGCUGCAAUAAUUGUGGUGUUCCAGCUUGCAUAAAAAAAUAAGCAAUCCAGAAUGUGCAUUUGCUUUUGUAGCGAUUUCACUUA